GGCUGUGGCUCAGUGGCAGAGCGCUUGCCUAGCAUGUGUGAGGCACUGGGUUUGAUCCUCAGCACCA
This 67-nucleotide transfer RNA is filed under the name Marmota monax (woodchuck). Its description in RNAcentral is "tRNA.Ala". Lineage: Eukaryota; Metazoa; Chordata; Mammalia; Rodentia; Sciuridae. The record is from RNAcentral.